RNA transcript from Phragmites australis (common reed), 2071 nucleotides. RefSeq lists it as uncharacterized. NCBI's taxonomy places the organism in Eukaryota, Viridiplantae, Streptophyta, Magnoliopsida, Poales, Poaceae. The transcript is spliced from 9 exons. The record is from RefSeq and is a predicted model, not a curated record.
UAAGCGAGCGUAAAAAGCCCUUAAUAACGACCCAAAAACUUCAAAAGAGGAAUCAGAAACAGCACUCCCGAAACGGCAACGCGAUGCUUCUCCAGCAAAUCUCCGCCGCCCUUGCCGGCGCCGCCGCUCGCCGAAGCUCCGGCGACACUCCCUUCCCUCCUUCUCCUCUCCCCUUUCGCCUCCACCGCCGCGUCCUCGCCCCCAUCCGCGCCGACUCGCCCCCGAUCUCCCUCUCCGCCGCCCCCUCGCGGCCGGCGAAGCCACCCGCCUGCACCGCCGACGAGCUCCACUACGCCCCCGUAGAUGCCGCUGGGUGGCGCCUCGCGCUGUGGCGGUACAGGCCUCCCCGCAAUGCCCCGGUGAGGAAUCACCCGCUGAUGCUGCUGUCGGGAGUCGGGACGAACGCCAUCGGAUUCGACCUCUCCCCCGGGGCUUCAUUCGCGCGUCACAUGUCUAGCCAAGGAUUUGAUACAUGGAUAGUUGAAGUAAGAGGUGCUGGUCUGAGCAUGCGUGAAUAUGACAAUUCUGCUGCAUCUGGGUCAGGCACUUUUGAGGAUGUCUCUGGUGGCAUUCAACCUCUUGAAAAACAAAGUACAUUCGAGGCUGCUUCCCUUCAAAGUUUUGGUGGCUCUUCCAUUGAUGAUGACCUUGGAAUAAUUGCUUUGGAUGAACCACCUUUACUGACAGAGCUUUCUAAUUUUUUUGAUCAAAUCUCAAAGCAUAUGGAAGAGGCUAUAUUAAAGGAAAAUUUUCAUGAAAUCACAGAAAAAAUUUCACUUCUGUCAGACAUGGUAGAGAGCUCUGCCAUUAUUGGUCCAAUGAGAGAAGAAAGUCUACGUCUUUUGAAGAAUGUUCAAGAGCAGUUGGACUCAUGGGAGCGCUUCGUGGAAACACAGAUGCAUCUGACUUCUGAAUAUAAUUGGGACUUUGACCAUUACCUGGAGGAGGAUAUACCUGCUGCGGUGGAGUAUAUUAGACAACACAGCAAAGCGAAAAAUGGGAAGUUGCUUGCCAUUGGACAUUCAAUGGGAGGAAUUUUAUUAUAUGCAAUGUUGUCAAGAUCUGGUUUUGAAGGAGUUCCAUCAAAUUUAGCAGCUAUUGUUACUUUGGCUUCCUCUGUUGACUAUACAACGUCCAAUUCUUCACUGAAGAUGUUACUGCCUCUUGCUCAUCCUGCACAGGCUCUUAAUGUCCCUGUUGUCCCAUUGGGUACAUUAUUGGCAGCAGCAUAUCCCUGGGCAUCUGGUCCGCUGCAUCUUUUUUCUUGGCUUAAUCAUCAAAUAUCAGCUCAGGACAUGAUGCAUCCGGAGUUGUUGUCCAAGCUUGUUUUCAACAAUUUUUGUACAGUGCCCGCAAAGGUUGUCCUGCAACUUACCACCGCUUUCCGGGAAGGUGGCUUAUGCAACCGAAACGGAACUUUCUCAUACAAGGAUCAUUUGCGAGAGUGUCAGACUCCGGUCCUUGCACUGGCUGGAGAUAAGGACCUCAUCUGCCCUCCAGAAGCAGUUUACGGUAGGAAACGGUCAAACUCAUUCCUAAGCACAAGGUGAAGUAUAGGGUGUUCGGAAAGCCAAAAGGCCCGCAUUAUGCACACUAUGACUUGGUUGGAGGUCGAUUGGCGACCCAUGAAGUCUACCCAUGUAUCAUAGAAUUCCUUUGUCACCAUGACCAGUUGUUGACUUGACUAUGUGAUGCUCAAAAUUGGAAUAUAACACUGAAUGCUUACAGCAUCAUGUUCAUCUCAGAAGGUUUUUAAGCUGAGCUGGACAGUCUUUUACAAGAUCUCUCUCUCAAUGAUGAGAAAAGCAGGUAAAUUUUACGGGUUCAUUUGACGUAAUCUUGUAAACGAGUGUACUGUAUGUCAAUACGUCCUGUGUUGUGAAAGUGCUAGGAUACAUUGUAGAUUACAUGUACUCCCAGAUAACAAAAACCGAGGUCAAAGAAAUUGUAAGUCAAAGAAAUUGACAUGUAAGUGUAUGUAAAACUGGCUACAUUAAUGUUAUACAAUUCUGUUGUAUCAUCCGGGAAGUAAUGGAAGGAACAUUGCUUGUGCCUGCAACUAGAGCAAUCC